GCCUUUGUCGAUUGUGAGUGUUUUAGCAAUAUUUAUUGAAUUCCAGUUUGCUAAAAAAAAGAGGCGAAAAUCGUAAAUGGAAAGAAAAACGGAAAUAAUAAUAAAGAGCGAUGCGCAAAAGAUGAGGAAGGAAAGCUAACAAAAGCAUCACAAUGCAUAUUUCUGCCAACUGGCAGAAAAUUCCAAACGCGACAAAAUGAAUUCUUUUGUGACAAGUUCAGUUGAGUUCAGUUCGGUUUGGUUCGGUUCGGAUUGGAGGAGAAGCUGAACCCCAAGAAGACUGAAAGCAACCCCAGGAAGAGGAAACUCAGGCACUUCAUAUGUGGGGACUGUGCACAAGGAAGAAGGGUUCAAAAGACAGUCAGGUGAAGGAAUGCAGCACCCAUUUUGUAAGAAAUUGAAAAAUCUAACAGUGCUUUGCUUGAAGCGUCGGCAAAAAUAAGCAGCAAAUGCGCUGCUUUAGUUCACAUUAUUGUCAUGGCCCUUGUGCAUGGAAUUUUUUAAUAAACGUUAAAGUUUAUAACAUUCUCUCGGCACUUACAUGCGAGAGUAUAUCGACAUGGACCCUACACGGCUUCUUUACGCCAAGUAAUAAGGGGAGGAGGAGAAAAUAGGGAGCGAGUGUGAGAGAGAUUUGCGUCUAAAAGACACACACAACAAGCAGAAACAGCGGCAGCGGCAGCAACAUCCAAAAAGAGAUGCAGAGACAGAGGGACAGGACCAAAACAAGGAUAUGCGUCUUUUGCGCCGGCUCGUAAAAGCCAAAGCCCCCAAAUGACAACGUCGCUAAAAAUUCUUAUCGCAGCGCCAAAAAUUAAGACCCACCCAACACAACACAACGGGAAAAAACCCUAGAAAUUUAUUGUAGCAAAGGUUAAAGAUGCGCCAUGUUAAAUGUGGAAAUUGUUUAAUCCAGAGCUUAGCAAUUACAAGGCACAGCGCUCAUGGUCAGCUGCAUGAAAUUGGACCUGACAACGCAUUCAAAAUAGAGAGACAGGGAAAAAACAAACCUUUCAAAGGUUCAGCAACGAAUUCUGCAUACACUACUUUAAAUAAAAAAUAUAUAUAUUAUGUUAUGCAACAAAAUUAAAAUAUACCCGACAGAAAACCAAUUGAAAUGAA
This is a long non-coding RNA of Drosophila nasuta, 1122 nucleotides long. RefSeq lists it as uncharacterized. The transcript has 2 exons. The record is from RefSeq and is a predicted model, not a curated record. NCBI's taxonomy places the organism in Eukaryota, Metazoa, Arthropoda, Insecta, Diptera, Drosophilidae.